UCUGGGUAUGUUUGGGAAGAUCGUCUAGUGGUUUGUGGAGAUCGUUUAGUGGUCUCCAAUUGCCUAGUUGUUUGUUUAGACCAUUUAGUGGUUUGUGGAGACCGUUUAUCGGUUUGUACAAAUCGUCUAGUGAUUUUUAGAUGACCGUCUAAAAGUUUGUUUUGUGUUAUGCUUAAGGAGCUCUUGGUUAUAUAUAUGUGUGACCAAGGGUACUCCCUCAAGUGGACUCUUUUGUACUUAUUUUUUUUAAAAUAACAUUUUGUUUUUCGUGCAUGUCUGUUUGAUUAUAUUUCCAACAUAAAAUACGAAAGCAAG
Molecule: long non-coding RNA, 315 nt
Filed under: Phaseolus vulgaris (common bean)
Lineage: Eukaryota; Viridiplantae; Streptophyta; Magnoliopsida; Fabales; Fabaceae
Description: long non-coding RNA (PVUL_LNC004904)
Source: RNAcentral